Molecule: non-coding RNA, 74 nt
Organism: Callorhinchus milii (elephant shark)
Lineage: Eukaryota; Metazoa; Chordata; Chondrichthyes; Chimaeriformes; Callorhinchidae
Source: the annotation of a RefSeq genome assembly
AGUCCUGUAGCUCAGUGGUUGGCGCGCUCGCCUUGAAAGUGAGAGGACCUGGGUUCGAUUCCCAGGCAGGACGA